Small nucleolar RNA from Talpa occidentalis (Iberian mole), 133 nucleotides. RefSeq annotates it as small nucleolar RNA SNORA68. Lineage: Eukaryota; Metazoa; Chordata; Mammalia; Eulipotyphla; Talpidae. The transcript has a single exon. The record is from RefSeq and is a predicted model, not a curated record.
CAAGCACCUAAACCCAAGAACCACCGUUUCUCAUAGCAGUGGUUUAAAUAGAGGUGCUGACAGCAAUCGGAUCUUGUCGCCUUUGGGGGGCUGUGUCUGUGCCCCUGAAAGUGAAUUCGGAGGUUCUACACCC